UACGUAGGGGGGCAAGCGUUGUCCGGAAUCAUUGGGCGUAAAGCGCGUGUAGGCGGUUCAGUAAGUCUGCUGUGAAAGUCCAGGGCUCAACCCUGGGAUGCCGGUGGAUACUGCUGGGCUAGAGUACGGAAGAGGCGAGUGGAAUUCCCGGUGUAGCGGUGAAAUGCGCAGAUAUCGGGAGGAACACCAAUUGCGAAGGCAGCUCGCUGGGACGUCACUGACGCUGAGACGC
This 232-nucleotide ribosomal RNA is filed under the name uncultured bacterium. Its description in RNAcentral is "partial 16S ribosomal RNA". It matches the Rfam family "Bacterial small subunit ribosomal RNA", at positions 524 to 754 of the family's 1533-position model. The record is from RNAcentral.